RNAcentral lists this long non-coding RNA (1235 nucleotides) under Rattus norvegicus (Norway rat). Its description in RNAcentral is "long non-coding RNA NONRATT015055". The record is from RNAcentral. Lineage: Eukaryota; Metazoa; Chordata; Mammalia; Rodentia; Muridae.
UUUUUCUCUUCUGCUCUAAGUGACAUUUGAGAGAGUGCAGGGUAAGAGCACUGACCUGAGUAGGAAGGGUGAAGCGCUUGAGUGGCGGGAGCCUGAGUUGUGGGAGCUCACUGCCCACUUGGCUACUUGGGCAAACCCCUCGUUUCCCAGGCUGCUUUAUUUCAGGAAAACGAUUCCUGGGUGAGAUUAAGUUCCAAGACACCUUCCAUAUUGCAAGUGAUCGAUUUUGUAUCUUUUGUUUUGUUUUGCUUUUUAGACAGGGUUUCUUUGUAUAGUCCUGGCUGUCCUGGAACUUACUCCAUAGACCAGGCUGGCCUCCAACCCACAGAGUUACCUCUGCCUCCUGAGCAAUGGGAUUAAAGGCAUGCUUGCCACUGUCCAGUGAGUCUGUGAGAUAUUUAUUAGAACCCGUGUUAUUAGUUUACUGGUUCUUAGUCAGUGUCAAAGUCAAGAGCACUCUAUGAUACACCCUGUGUUGACCGGCCAUUGCUUGGAGAGCUGGUUAGUAGUCUCACUCAGGUGCUGAUUAAACACUUGAGGGAGAAACAUAAUAAAAUGUUGAAAUUCUUUUCACCCAGAUGAGAUUACAGAAGCCAAAUCAGGGACUGCUACUCCACAGAGAUCGGGAUCCAUCAGCAACUAUCGAUCUUGCCAAAGGAGCGACUCCGACGCCGAGGCUCAAGGAAAGCCCUCAGAAGUCUCUCUUACCUCAUCCGUGACCUCCCUCGACUCCUCUCCUGUUGACGUAGCUCCAAGACCAGGAAGUCACACGAUAGAAUUUUUUGAAAUGUGUGCAAAUCUAAUUAAAAUUCUUGCACAGUAAACCUAAAACUUUGCUUAUUUCUUUGAUGCAAUAAGCAUGCUUACUAAAUAAUAGCCAAAUACUUCCACUUACCGAGUUAUAUGUGUGUGUAUAUAUAACUAAGGACUGGCCUUCUGCAAUGCAGCUUGCACAGGGCCUGGAAAAUGAUCGAUUGUUUAAGCCUAAUGUGCAGAAAGGAAUCAGGAUCAUUCUGUUAGCCCUUAUUCAGUAGGCACACAUCGCAUAGUAACACACAGUGGACUAUAGGCCUCAGGCUCACUCGAUUUUUGGCCAUUUGAAUUUGCUGUAACAGGUCUCUGUUGACCAUAAAUUUACCAUAAAGCCUUUACAUAUCAGUACAUGUUGAUGUGUUUUAUAUUAGCUUCAUGAAUUUAUUGAGUGAGUUUGCCUAGAAUCCCCACAGACCUUCCUA